AACGAACGCUGGCGGCGCGCCUAAUACAUGCAAGUCGAGCGAGAAGACGUAGCAAUACGUUUGUAAAGCGGCGAACGGGUGAGGAAUACAUGGGUAACCUACCCUCGAGUGGGGAAUAACUAGCCGAAAGGUUAGCUAAUACCGCGUACGCUCCUUGGACUUCGGUUCAGGGAGGAAAGCGAUACCGUGGGUAUCGCGCUCUUGGAUGGGCUCAUGUCCUAUCAGCUUGUUGGUGAGGAACGGCUCACCAAGGCUUCGACGGGUAGCUGGUCUGAGAGGACGAUCAGCCACACUGGCACUGCGACACGGGCCAGACUCCUACGGGAGGCAGCAGUGGGGAAUCUUGCGCAAUGGGCGAAAGCCUGACGCAGCGACGCCGCGUGAGGGAUGACGGCCUCGGUGUACUCUUCUANCUCGCGAGACGAGAGUGACGGUAGGAGGCGAGAAGAAGACGA
RNAcentral lists this ribosomal RNA (455 nucleotides) under uncultured bacterium. RNAcentral describes it as "bacterial SSU rRNA". It matches the Rfam family "Bacterial small subunit ribosomal RNA", at positions 29 to 494 of the family's 1533-position model. The record is from RNAcentral.